This 253-nucleotide ribosomal RNA is filed under the name uncultured bacterium. RNAcentral's name for it is "partial 16S ribosomal RNA". It matches the Rfam family "Bacterial small subunit ribosomal RNA", at positions 524 to 776 of the family's 1533-position model. The record is from RNAcentral.
UACGUAGGGUGCAAGCGCUGUCCGGAAUUAUUGGGCGUAAAGGGCGCGUAGGCGGACAGUUUAGUCAGAGGUGAAAGCCCAGGGCUCAACCUUGGAAUAGCCUUUGAUACUGGCUGUCUUGAGUUCGGGAGAGGUGAGUGGAAUGCCGAGUGUAGAGGUGAAAUUCGUAGAUAUUCGGCGGAACACCAGUGGCGAAGGCGACUCACUGGCCCGAUACUGACGCUGAGGCGCGAAAGCGUGGGGAGCAAACAGG